UACGUAGGGCGCAAGCGUUAUCCGGAAUUAUUGGGCGUAAAGAGCUCGUAGGCGGUUUGUUGCGUCGGCUGUGAAAUCCCGAGGCUCAACCUCGGGUCUGCAGUCGAUACGAGCAAACUAGAGUGUUGCAGGGGAGACUGGAAUUCCUGGUGUAGCGGUGAAAUGCGCAGAUAUCAGGAGGAACACCGGUGGCGAAGGCGGGUCUCUGGGCAACAACUGACGCUGAGGAGCGAAAGCGUGGGGGAGCGAACAGG
Molecule: ribosomal RNA, 254 nt
Filed under: uncultured bacterium
Lineage: Bacteria
Description: partial 16S ribosomal RNA
Rfam family: Bacterial small subunit ribosomal RNA
Source: RNAcentral